Molecule: unclassified non-coding RNA, 306 nt
Filed under: plant metagenome
Description: partial contains 5.8S ribosomal RNA, internal transcribed spacer 2, and large subunit ribosomal RNA
Rfam family: 5.8S ribosomal RNA (bases 1-105)
Source: RNAcentral
GAAAUGCGAUAAGUAAUGUGAAUUGCAGAAUUCAGUGAAUCAUCGAAUCUUUGAACGCACAUUGCGCCCGCCAGUAUUCUGGCGGGCAUGCCUGUCCGAGCGACAUUUCAACCAUCAAGCCCCCGGGCUUGUGUUGGGGACCUGCGGCUGCCCGCAGGCCCUGAAAACCAGUGGCGGGCUCGCUGUCACACCGAGCGUAGUAGCAAUCACCUCGCUCAGGGCGUGCUGCGGGUUCCGGCCGUUAAACAGCCUUACAAAACCCAAGGUUGACCUCGGAUCAGGUAGGAAGACCCGCUGAACUUAAGC